Small nucleolar RNA from Anser brachyrhynchus (Pink-footed goose), 132 nucleotides. Ensembl annotates it as small nucleolar RNA, H/ACA box 51. The record is from Ensembl. Lineage: Eukaryota; Metazoa; Chordata; Aves; Anseriformes; Anatidae.
CUCCUCCCCACGCUUACCACAGGCAGCUCGUGCUCCGGCUGCCUGUACAGAACGGGGAGGGAGAGCACGGCCCCGAGUGCACCCCGGCCGGGGAGACCGUGCCCCGGCUGGAUUGUGAGCGGGGACACACGC